GUCAAAGCGUUCAUUAAAGUCGAGUUGGCUUAGGGAUACGUUCGUUGGGUAGGGGAGCGUUCUGUAAGCCUGUGAAGGUGUGUCGUGAGGCAUGCUGGAGGUAUCAGAAGUGCGAAUGCUGACAUAAGUAACGAUAAAGCGGGUGAAAAGCCCGCUCGCCGGAAGACCAAGGGUUCCUGUCCAACGUUAAUCGGGGCAGGGUGAGUCGACCCCUAAGGCGAGGCCGAAAGGCGUAGUCGAUGGGAAACGGGUUAAUAUUCCCGUACUUGGUGUUACUGCGAAGGGGGGACGGAGAAGGCUAUGUUGGCCGGGCGACGGUUGUCCCGGUUUAAGCGUGUAGGUGUGUGUUCCAGGUAAAUCCGGUUCACUUUAACACUGAGGCGUGACGACGAGGCACUACGGUGCUGAAGCAACAAAUGCCCUGCUUCCAGGAAAAGCCUCUAAGCAUCAGGUAACAUCAAAUCGUACCCCAAACCGACACAGGUGGUCAGGUAGAGAAUACCAAGGCGCUUGAGAGAACUCGGGUGAAGGAACUAGGCAAAAUGGUGCCGUAACUUCGGGAGAAGGCACGCUGACACGUAGGUGAAGUGAUUUACUCAUGGAGCUGAAGUCAGUCGAAGAUACCAGCUGGCUGCAACUGUUUAUUAAAAACACAGCACUGUGCAAACACGAAAGUGGACGUAUACGGUGUGACGCCUGCCCGGUGCCGGAAGGUUAAUUGAUGGGGUCAGCGCAAGCGAAGCUCCUGAUCGAAGCCCCGGUAAACGGCGGCCGUAACUAUAACGGUCCUAAGGUAGCGAAAUUCCUUGUCGGGUAAGUUCCGACCUGCACGAAUGGCGUAAUGAUGGCCAGGCUGUCUCCACCCGAGACUCAGUGAAAUUGAACUCGCUGUGAAGAUGCAGUGUACCCGCGGCAAGACGGAAAGACCCCGUGAACCUUUACUAUAGCUUGACACUGAACAUUGAGCCUUGAUGUGUAGGAUAGGUGGGAGGCUUUGAAGUGUGGACGCCAGUCUGCAUGGAGCCGACCUUGAAAUACCACCCUUUAAUGUUU
RNAcentral lists this ribosomal RNA (1053 nucleotides) under Salmonella enterica. RNAcentral's name for it is "partial 23S ribosomal RNA". It matches the Rfam family "Bacterial large subunit ribosomal RNA", at positions 1181 to 2215 of the family's 2925-position model. RNAcentral also lists the same sequence under 1 other name. The record is from RNAcentral. Lineage: Bacteria; Pseudomonadati; Pseudomonadota; Gammaproteobacteria; Enterobacterales; Enterobacteriaceae.